AAUGGAAACUGUUUCCAAGGACUCCAACAUGAAACCAUGUGCUGUUAAGACCCACCCUCUGGAUGGUGUACCUGAUUGAACCCAACCAGGCAGCAAGUUGACAAAUGGACAUGAAUUUAACCUCUGAGUGUUCCAUAAGCUGGUAUUGUCCUGACAUUGCAAAGUGUUUACCACAAAAAUCCUCUACAUCCAUCACCCAGGGCCAGCCGUUUCCUGAUUCUAAUUCCACUGACAUUGAAAUCUGAAGCUCUCUAUGAGCUUCAUUCAAAAUGGACUUAACGGCUCUAGAUCUUAAUAGGAUCCACAUUCUAUUGCUUUUACAGGUAUGACAGUGAUGGGUACUAAAGAAGUUACUGAAGAAGCAAUAUUACAAUUUGAGUUUAAAAUGAAAAACACAUUUUAGUGUAAUGUUAUGGAAAACAACUGUAUAUUCAAGUACAAGGAUAUUUAUCCAGCCUUAAUUAUUUUUCUCUUACUCUAAUUUUGCCUUUUAGAAUGGCUGAAAUCAACUCUAAGAGCACCAGAAAAACAAAAUACUCUCAUAUAAUUCUGUGAAGAAGAAGAAGAAAAAAAAAAAAAAAAACAGAAAAGAGAGUUCCAGUCAUGCUUAAACCCCAUUAACUCUUUCAUUUAUUAUUAUUUUACUUUUGUCCCAGCCAUACCUUUGUACAUCACCGUGUUCUAAGCCUUGAGCUCUUAUAGAUUGUAAAAGCAAUUUUUGCUAUGACCUAUCCCAAUCCAU
Long non-coding RNA from Lutra lutra (Eurasian river otter), 742 nucleotides. RefSeq lists it as uncharacterized. Lineage: Eukaryota; Metazoa; Chordata; Mammalia; Carnivora; Mustelidae. The transcript is spliced from 3 exons. The record is from RefSeq and is a predicted model, not a curated record.